CUUAACAACCAGAGCGUCUGCCACCGCUCCUGAACGGGAGAGAAGGAGAGUGGCUUUUCCCUCCAAUCCGCCGGCUGCACAGUGGCGUACGGCGUGGCUCCUGCAGAUCCACCAAUCUCAGGGUCUGGUUUCUGAUGAACUUCAAUCUCCCAGAAUGCUUAGUGCAGCGGCCGAAUUCAGUUAAGAAACUACACCUCCCAUGAAACCCUGCAGUAUAACCUUGAAGUAAUAGCAGAGAAGAAAACGCUCCUAUCCCAGGGCCAGUGGCGCAAUGGAUAACGCGUCUGACUACGGAUCAGAAGAUUCCAGGUUCGACUCCUGGCUGGCUCGAUGGGUUCUCCCUGUGCUUCCCGGACUGGUCUCAGACUCCUGGACUCAAGCAAUCCUCCCUCCUUGGGGUUCUGAAGUGCUAGGAUUAUAGGGUCUCACUUUGUCACCCAGGCUGCAGUGCAGUGGCAUGUUGGACAAAAUCUUUAGCUCCUCCAUCCUGACAGAAGGAAGAAAGAAAUGUCAAGUGGAAGAUCCCUGAUAGCAGCAGGCUUAGGAAUGGACACGGUAACUGCCGAUGGUCAAGGUAUGAGCUAAACACUGAUAGGAUAAACAAGGUCACUCUGAAUCUCUGAGCAAUUGCUCUCCAAAAAAAAAAAAUACAAAAAUUGGCUGAGUGCAGUGGCUCACACCUAUAAUCCCAGCAUUUUGGGAGACCGAGGCAGGUGGAUUGCCUGAGGUCAGGAGUUCGAGACCAACCUGGCCAACAUGUCAAAACCCCAUCUUUACUAAAACUACAACAAUUAGCCCAAUGUGGUGGCACAUACCUGUAAUCUCAGCUACUCAGAAGGCUGAAACAUGAGAAUCGCAUGAACCCGUGAGAUGGAGGUGGAAGUGAGCGAAGAUCACACCACUGCACUCUAGCCAGGGCAACAGAGCAAGAAUCCAUCUCAAAAAUAAAAAAAAUACAAAAAUUAGCUGGGCAUGGUGGCACCCACCUGUAGUCCCAGCUACCUGCGAGGCUGAGGUGGAAGGAUCAUUUGAGCCUAGGAGGUUGAGGCUACAGUGAGCCGUGGUUUUUUUGUUUUUGUUUUGUCAAUUCUCCUUAAUAAAGCUGUGUUUAUGCUACUACAUUCCAGCCACAAAGUGAGACCCUGUUUCAAAAAAAAAAAGUUAAGUCAAAGACAUUAAUUCUUCUUGUAAAUAAAUCCAGACCAUCAUGUGGCAACAAAGUGAGACCCUGUUUCAAAAAAUAAUAAAGGAAAAAAAAGUUGAGUCGAAGACAUUCUUUCUGUAAAUAAAGCUAGACCACCAUUUGAUAUUAGCAGAAUGCCCCAAGACAGUUUCCCUGGAAAAUGGUUUCAGAAACUGAGUAGGCUCUUCUAAAUAAAGGUAGAGGCCUUCUGCUUCUGCUCUUAGUCCCCCAUUUUGACACCAGCCAGGACUCUGCCUUGUUCUAAGCUGACUGUUGAACUUGGUUCCUCAGGGGGAUCUCCUCCAAACCUCUGCUCUUGGAAAAAAAAGUAGCCCUCAAACUACACUAGAGGCAACCAGGAACACAAGUGGCUUGUGUCCUUUCCUAUAAGUGAGGUGGACACUGGCUGCUUCAUUUAUUUAUUUAUUUAAUUUUUGAGACAGGGUCUCACUCUGUCACCCAGGCUGAGUGCAGCACUGCCAUCAUGGCUAACUGCAGCCUUGACCUCCUGGGUUCAAGUGAACCUCCUGCCACAGCCUCCUGAGUAGCUGGUACUACAGGCACACACCAUCACACUAAUUAAAAAUUUUUUUUCAGCUGGGUGUAGCGGCGCACGCCUGUAAUCCCAGCUACUCCAGAGGCUGAGGCAGGAUAAUCACUUGAACCCAAGAGCUGGAGAUUGUAGUGAGGUGAAAUUGUGCCACUGCACUCCAGCCUGGCAACAGAGCAAUACUCCAUCUAAAAAAAAAAAUCUUUUUUUCAUAGAGACAAAGGUCUUGCUAUGUUGCCCAGGCUGAUCUUCAACAGCUGGGCUCAAGUGAUUAUCUUGCCUUGGCCUCCCAAAGUGCUGGAAUUACAUGUGUGAGUCACUGCUCCCAGCCUCAGUUGCUUUACUGUAACUCCCACACUGAUACCCAUAGUGAGAAAAUAGCUCCCUACCUGCCUGAGCAUCUAGCAUUCCUCUGGAGAUUAUAGCUCUCCAAGAGCAAGCCCAAAUUUAAUCCACUCUGCUCUCCCAAAAUGAAGCCUCUAAGACUUGAUAUAGGCAGGCUGGCAACUCUAUCUCUUACUCUUUGCAUAAGCAUCAUGUAUCUGUCUCUAUUUGGA
Callithrix jacchus (white-tufted-ear marmoset) is the source of this 2290-nucleotide long non-coding RNA. RefSeq lists it as uncharacterized. The record is from RefSeq and is a predicted model, not a curated record. Lineage: Eukaryota; Metazoa; Chordata; Mammalia; Primates; Cebidae.